RNAcentral lists this non-coding RNA (21 nucleotides) under Caenorhabditis elegans. Lineage: Eukaryota; Metazoa; Nematoda; Chromadorea; Rhabditida; Rhabditidae. The record is from RNAcentral.
UAGUAAUUUUUCCUAUGCUCC